CCUUAAUUUCCUCAGGUGUAGAAUACUCAGGAGGAGUGGUGAUGUUCUCAGAAGCAGGUGCAGAACCAGUGGGUCAUGUGCAAAGUGGUAAUGUCAUCUAGCUGGGGUCUCUCUCCUCGCACCUCCUUGUCAAAAGAAGCUGGCCAAUUUUCCUUAAGGACUCCAUGAAGCCUUUCCCACAUAGUCCUUGGGGAUGGGUGACAUAGUAUAUGCUUGUGACAAGAGUCUUUAUGAGGGAGUGAGCCCAGUUUAUCCCUCACUGACUCUGUAUCUUUGGGACAUCUCAGUAGCACUGGGACCUGAGGGGCACAAUGUAAGACCCUUGUUCUCUGUUCUGUUCUCCUGCCCAAGCCACGGACCUGAGAAUCGGCACUUUCCCAGGCCCACCUGGGUCGCCACUCACCAAACAUCCAGACGUCACUGGCGGUUGUAAAGCGGCGAAAGUUGAUGGACUCGGGGGACAUCCAUUUGAUGGGGAGACGGGUCACGGAAGCUUUGUGUGGACAAAGAGGUUUACAGGGAUUAUUUACGGAUAUCAUUCUGUGUUAGAACUAGAAAGAACUUCAGAGACCAGAAAGCUCAAUGCCUGUGUCCAGAGGAGGAUACAGAGUCAUGUGAUCUGCUCAAAGGCAAGCAGGCCUCAGCCCUACCCUACAGUGUGACAUCUGGCAUCCUCUAGGAAGUGAUGAGAGUCAGAUGACAUUGUGAGGAGAGGAUUCUGAUGAAAACUAGUGUUCUUAAAAGAAGAGGACAAGACACUAGAGAUUGUGCUCUCUACCAUGUGACCACACAGCAAGGAGACCAACCUAAAAGCAAGCCUUCUCCAACCAGAAUCUGCAGUGACAGGGCUUGCCAACCUCAAGAACUCAGAGUAAUACAUGGCUGGCUUUGAGUCAUUCAGUCUAUUGUAUUGUUUGUGCCAAUGCAGCUGACCAAGAUCAAAACAGUACCAUGGUGCAAACUAAGUCAACAUUUGUCAUAACAACAAACGGCGUUCUUGAGCCAUCAUUGAUUAAAGGUGCACACCACCAUGUAGGCUUA
This is a long non-coding RNA of Rattus norvegicus (Norway rat), 1041 nucleotides long. RefSeq lists it as uncharacterized. The record is from RefSeq and is a predicted model, not a curated record. Lineage: Eukaryota; Metazoa; Chordata; Mammalia; Rodentia; Muridae.